CCCAGGGUUGCGGGGCCGUGCCAGGCACACAGAAAGAAACAGGGAGCGGCAGCUGUGGCAUGAUUUGAGGAGCCGGGAGAAGCAGAUGACUCUUGACAGGCCUGCUGAGGAAUUCUCUCUUCUCAUGCCUAGCACUGUUAGGGGGUGUGUGGAGAUGAAAAAGCACAGGAUGCAGAAUCAGAAGACCCUGUUUAAGACCUGGUUUCCUCGCUCACCUGCUGUGCUGCUGUUGAAAAAGACACCUAGUUCCUCUGAAUCCCUCCUCGUAGGGAAAAUGUCUCCGUAAAUAUAAAUAAAAUAAAGUUUUCCCAUUUAAAAAUGGGGAUGAUAAUAAAUGCUUAACUUCCAGGA
RNAcentral lists this long non-coding RNA (351 nucleotides) under Equus asinus (donkey). Its description in RNAcentral is "lncRNA (ENSEASG00005031232.1)". The record is from RNAcentral. Lineage: Eukaryota; Metazoa; Chordata; Mammalia; Perissodactyla; Equidae.